UAAUACAUGCAAGUCGAGCGAACAGACGAGGAGCUUGCUCCUCUGACGUUAGCGGCGGACGGGUGAGUAACACGUGGAUAACCUACCUAUAAGACUGGGAUAACUUCGGGAAACCGGAGCUAAUACCGUAUAACAUGUUGAACCGCAUGGUUCAACAGUGAAAGACGGUCUUGCUGUCACUUAUAGAUGGAUCCGCGCCGCAUUAGCUAGUUGGUAAGGUAACGGCUUACCAAGGCAACGAUGCGUAGCCGACCUGA
This 257-nucleotide ribosomal RNA is filed under the name Staphylococcus sp. SKL70935. RNAcentral's name for it is "partial 16S ribosomal RNA". It matches the Rfam family "Bacterial small subunit ribosomal RNA", at positions 49 to 295 of the family's 1533-position model. Lineage: Bacteria; Bacillati; Bacillota; Bacilli; Caryophanales; Staphylococcaceae. The record is from RNAcentral.